UUGGGUGCAAUUUGGCACGCAGUAUCGAAGCUAACGCGUUAAGUUCGCCGCCUGGGGAGUACGGUCGCAAGACUGAAACUCAAAGGAAUUGACGGGGGCCCGCACAAGCGGUGGAGUAUGUGGUUUAAUUCGAUGCAACGCGAAGAACCUUACCUGGCCUUGACAUGUCGAGAACUUUCCAGAGAUGGAUUGGUGCCUUCGGGAACUCGAACACAGGUGCUGCAUGGCUGUCGUCAGCUCGUGUCGUGAGAUGUUGGGUUAAGUCCCGCAACGAGCGCA
This 279-nucleotide ribosomal RNA is filed under the name Salmonella enterica subsp. enterica serovar Typhimurium. RNAcentral describes it as "partial 16S ribosomal RNA". It matches the Rfam family "Bacterial small subunit ribosomal RNA", at positions 823 to 1100 of the family's 1533-position model. Lineage: Bacteria; Pseudomonadati; Pseudomonadota; Gammaproteobacteria; Enterobacterales; Enterobacteriaceae. The record is from RNAcentral.